AUCCAGCUGACGAGUCCCAAAUAGGACGAAAUGCGCGUCCUAGAU
Molecule: non-coding RNA, 45 nt
Organism: Schistosoma margrebowiei
Lineage: Eukaryota; Metazoa; Platyhelminthes; Trematoda; Strigeidida; Schistosomatidae
Source: Rfam